AUUGAACGCUGGCGGCAUGCUUUACACAUGCAAGUCGAACGGUAACAGGCCUUCGGGUGCUGACGAGUGGCGAACGGGUGAGUAAUGCAUCAGAACGUACCCAGAGGUGGGGGAUAACGCAGCGAAAGCUGUGCUAAUACCGCAUGUGAUCUGAGGAUGAAAGCGGGGGACCGAGCAGCAAUGUUUGGCCUCGCGCCUUUGGAGCGGCCGAUGUCGGAUUAGCUAGUUGGUGGGGUAAAGGCCUACCAAGGCGACGAUCCGUAGCUGGUCUGAGAGGACGACCAGCCACACUGGGACUGAGACACGGCCCAGACUCCUACGGGAGGCAGCAGUGGGGAAUUUUGGACAAUGGGCGCAAGCCUGAUCCAGCAAUGCCGCGUGCGGGAAGAAGGCCUUCGGGUUGUAAACCGCUUUUGGCAGGAACGAAACGGUGUCCGCUAAUACCGGGCGCUAAUGACGGUACCUGCAGAAUAAGCACCGGCUAACUACGUG
RNAcentral lists this ribosomal RNA (492 nucleotides) under uncultured bacterium. RNAcentral describes it as "partial 16S ribosomal RNA". It matches the Rfam family "Bacterial small subunit ribosomal RNA", at positions 29 to 507 of the family's 1533-position model. The record is from RNAcentral.